This 504-nucleotide ribosomal RNA is filed under the name uncultured bacterium. RNAcentral's name for it is "bacterial SSU rRNA". It matches the Rfam family "Bacterial small subunit ribosomal RNA", at positions 107 to 607 of the family's 1533-position model. The record is from RNAcentral.
UGAGUAAUGUCUGGGAAACUGCCUGAUGGAGGGGGAUAACUACUGGAAACGGUAGCUAAUACCGCAUAACGUCGCAAGACCAAAGAGGGGGACCUUCGGGCCUCUUGCCAUCAGAUGUGCCCAGAUGGGAUUAGCUAGUAGGUGGGGUAACGGCUCACCUAGGCGACGAUCCCUAGCUGGUCUGAGAGGAUGACCAGCCACACUGGAACUGAGACACGGUCCAGACUCCUACGGGAGGCAGCAGUGGGGAAUAUUGCACAAUGGGCGCAAGCCUGAUGCAGCCAUGCCGCGUGUAUGAAGAAGGCCUUCGGGUUGUAAAGUACUUUCAGCGGGGAGGAAGGCGAUAAGGUUAAUAACCUUGUCGAUUGACGUUACCCGCAGAAGAAGCACCGGCUAACUCCGUGCCAGCAGCCGCGGUAAUACGGAGGGUGCAAGCGUUAAUCGGAAUUACUGGGCGCAAAGCGCACGCAGGCGGUCUGUCAAGUCGGAUGUGAAAUCCCCGGG